This is a long non-coding RNA of Temnothorax curvispinosus, 736 nucleotides long. RefSeq lists it as uncharacterized. The record is from RefSeq and is a predicted model, not a curated record. The transcript is spliced from 3 exons. Lineage: Eukaryota; Metazoa; Arthropoda; Insecta; Hymenoptera; Formicidae.
AAUCGGAGGAUCACGUUUUAAUCGGAGACUGUAGGUUUGUUCUUUUCAGUUGCACUGGUACUGCACUGGUUCUGAACUAGAACUGGCGAGUACAGCAGAAAUUUUUCUAGUGCAAGAAUUCUGAGAGGAAGGAAAAGAACGCCACAGUGCAAGAAUCAACAUGGCGCAACACGUAAUUGAAGAUGUUGAUUUAUCUGAAUUUAUCAGACGAUGAAGAUUUUGUUUUACCACCACCACCACUGUUAUUGUACACAAAACCUAUCUAGGAUGAAGAUGAUAAUCAUAACGAGUUACGAAUAAUACAUCCAAUUUUUGGAAUGAUUCAAAGAAUUGAGCAUGUAAAAAUACAAAAUUACGUAGAAUUAAGAUAUUGUUUGGAAUUAUAAUGAGAUAGACUUUAUUAUGCACUUUCGGAUAUCAAGAGAAAAGACGUAUAGCACCUGAUUAAAUAUCCAACAUUAGCUGAAAAAGAAGAAACUGCAAUAUAUUAUAGAGAAAGAAAAGGAUUCUCUCGUAUAAUUGGUGCUAUUGACGGUUCACAUAUUAGAAUAGAUAAACCUAAAGAAGAUCCAGAUUCUUAUAUUAAUCGAAAGCAAACUUUUCCUUGCAUUUUCAAGGAACAGUAAAUCAUAAAAUGCAGUUUAUUGAUAUUUUCAUUGGAUAUCCUGGUUCUGUCCACGACGCAAGGGUUUUUAAAAAUUCUUCAUUGCGUAACGAUCUACAUGAAUUGUGUACA